AACGCGAAGAACCUUACCAAGGUUUGACAUGCAGGGAAAAGCCGUAGAGAUAUGGUGUCCGUAAGGGUCCUGCACAGGUGGUGCAUGGCUGUCGUCAGCUCGUGUCGUGAGAUGUUGGGUUAAGUCCCGCAACGAGCGCAACCCUCGUCCUAUGUUGCCAGCGGAUAAUGCCGGGGACUCAUAGGAGACUGCCGGGGUCAACUCGGAGGAAGGUGGGGAUGACGUCAAGUCCUCAUGCCCCUUAUGUCUUGGGCUGCAAACAUGCUACAAUGGCCAGUACAAAGGGUUGCGAGACCGCAAGGUGGAGCGAAUCCCAAAAAGCUGGUCUCAGUUCGGAUUGGGGUCUGCAACUCGACCCCAUGAAGUCGGAGUCGCUAGUAAUCGCAGAUCAGCAACGCUGCGGUGAAUACGUUCCCGGGCCUUGUA
RNAcentral lists this ribosomal RNA (426 nucleotides) under uncultured Actinomycetes bacterium. RNAcentral describes it as "bacterial SSU rRNA". It matches the Rfam family "Bacterial small subunit ribosomal RNA", at positions 958 to 1385 of the family's 1533-position model. The record is from RNAcentral. Lineage: Bacteria; Bacillati; Actinomycetota; Actinomycetes.